Molecule: small nuclear RNA, 18 nt
Filed under: Arabidopsis thaliana (thale cress)
Lineage: Eukaryota; Viridiplantae; Streptophyta; Magnoliopsida; Brassicales; Brassicaceae
Description: snRNA_06037
Source: RNAcentral
UAUCGGGUAAAGCCAAUG